This 64-nucleotide transfer RNA is filed under the name Laetmonice producta. RNAcentral describes it as "tRNA-His". Lineage: Eukaryota; Metazoa; Annelida; Polychaeta; Phyllodocida; Aphroditidae. The record is from RNAcentral.
AUUAAGGUAGUUUAUAAAAAUAAUGAACUGUGAUUUCAUAGAUAUAGUAUAUCUAUCCUUAAUA